This 897-nucleotide ribosomal RNA is filed under the name uncultured bacterium. Its description in RNAcentral is "bacterial SSU rRNA". It matches the Rfam family "Bacterial small subunit ribosomal RNA", at positions 8 to 895 of the family's 1533-position model. The record is from RNAcentral.
AGAGUUUGAUCCUGGCUCAGGAUGAACGCUAGCUACAGGCUUAACACAUGCAAGUCGAGGGGAAACGAUAUUGGAAGCUUGCUUCCGAUAGGCGUCGACCGGCGCACGGGUGAGUAACGCGUAUCCAACCUGCCCAUCACUUGGGGAUAACCUUGCGAAAGUAAGACUAAUACCCAAUGACGUCUCUAGAAGACAUCUGAAAGAGAUUAAAGAUUUAUCGGUGAUGGAUGGGGAUGCGUCUGAUUAGCUUGUUGGCGGGGUAACGGCCCACCAAGGCGACGAUCAGUAGGGGUUCUGAGAGGAAGGUCCCCCACAUUGGAACUGAGACACGGUCCAAACUCCUACGGGAGGCAGCAGUGAGGAAUAUUGGUCAAUGGACGAGAGUCUGAACCAGCCAAGUAGCGUGCAGGAUGACGGCCCUAUGGGUUGUAAACUGCUUUUAUAAGGGAAUAAAGUGAGUCUCGUGAGACUUUUUGCAUGUACCUUAUGAAUAAGGACCGGCUAAUUCCGUGCCAGCAGCCGCGGUAAUACGGAAGGUCCGGGCGUUAUCCGGAUUUAUUGGGUUUAAAGGGAGCGUAGGCCGGAGAUUAAGCGUGUUGUGAAAUGUAGACGCUCAACGUCUGCACUGCAGCGCGAACUGGUUUCCUUGAGUACGCACAAAGUGGGCGGAAUUCGUGGUGUAGCGGUGAAAUGCUUAGAUAUCACGAAGAACUCCGAUUGCGAAGGCAGCUCACUGGAGCGCAACUGACGCUGAAGCUCGAAAGUGCGGGUAUCGAACAGGAUUAGAUACCCUGGUAGUCCGCACGGUAAACGAUGGAUGCCCGCUGUUGGUCUGAAUAGGUCAGCGGCCAAGCGAAAGCAUUAAGCAUCCCACCUGGGGAGUACGCCGGCAACGGU